RNAcentral lists this long non-coding RNA (421 nucleotides) under Vombatus ursinus (common wombat). RNAcentral's name for it is "lncRNA (ENSVURG00010005292.1)". Lineage: Eukaryota; Metazoa; Chordata; Mammalia; Diprotodontia; Vombatidae. The record is from RNAcentral.
AACAGAACUACUCUUAUGCUUCCUGUUUAUUUAGACUGCCUCCAUGAGACACUGAUGAUUAUAGAGUUCAGAGGGGACACAAGUAUUACCUCCCCGUAUUAGAAGAGAUUGCGUCAACUGUGGGACUCAUACUUCAUCAGGAUGCUCAUGCUUCGUUGCCUCUGCCCCUCUGAUUGGAGGAUCGAAGGUCAAGGCAAAAUCUUCCCAAAGCCUAUAUUUAAAGACGGUUCAGAAGCCCAGCCAACUCUUCGUUUCCCACCAGCUGCACUGCUUGGUUUUGACUCUACCAUCAUCACCACACUCCCUUGCCAGAUACCCCAACCUACAGCAACCACCACCCUGAUGAGUCAGCAGCAUCACCAUCGAGGCAAGACCCUCUACUGGCAAAAAGAUUGCAGCUCACUGAAGGCUCAGAUGAUGG